RNAcentral lists this unclassified non-coding RNA (349 nucleotides) under soil metagenome. RNAcentral describes it as "partial contains 5.8S ribosomal RNA, internal transcribed spacer 2, and large subunit ribosomal RNA". The stretch from base 1 to 120 matches the Rfam family "5.8S ribosomal RNA", at positions 35 to 154 of the family's 154-position model. The record is from RNAcentral.
GAUGAAGAACGCAGCGAAAUGCGAUAACUAAUGUGAAUUGCAGAAUUCAGUGAAUCAUCGAGUCUUUGAACGCACAUUGCGCCCCCUGGUAUUCCGGGGGGCAUGCCUGUCCGAGCGUCAUUGCUGCCCUCAAGCACGGCUUGUGUGUUGGGCCUCCGCCCCCCGGCUCCCGGGGGGCGGGCCCGAAAGGCAGCGGCGGCACCGCGUCCGGUCCUCGAGCGUAUGGGGCUUCGUCACCCGCUCCGUAGGCCCGGCCGGCGCCCGCCGGCGACCCCCCUCAAUCUUUCCAGGUUGACCUCGGAUCAGGUAGGGAUACCCGCUGAACUUAAGCAUAUCAAUAAGCGGAGGA